This 616-nucleotide ribosomal RNA is filed under the name Trichormus sp. MACC 265. Its description in RNAcentral is "bacterial SSU rRNA". It matches the Rfam family "Bacterial small subunit ribosomal RNA", at positions 36 to 698 of the family's 1533-position model. Lineage: Bacteria; Bacillati; Cyanobacteriota; Cyanophyceae; Nostocales; Nostocaceae. The record is from RNAcentral.
CGACCGGAGCUUUACACAUGCAAGUCGAACGGUCUCUUCGGAGAUAGUGGCGGACGGGUGAGUAACGCGUGAGAAUCUAGCUUCAGGUCGGGGACAACCACUGGAAACGGUGGCUAAUACCGGAUGUGCCGAAAGGUGAAAGAUUUAUUGCCUGAAGAUGAGCUCGCGUCUGAUUAGCUAGUUGGUGUGGUAAGAGCGCACCAAGGCGACGAUCAGUAGCUGGUCUGAGAGGAUGAUCAGCCACACUGGGACUGAGACACGGCCCAGACUCCUACGGGAGGCAGCAGUGGGGAAUUUUCCGCAAUGGGCGAAAGCCUGACGGAGCAAUACCGCGUGAGGGAGGAAGGCUCUUGGGUUGUAAACCUCUUUUCUCAGGGAAUAAAAAAAUGAAGGUACCUGAGGAAUAAGCAUCGGCUAACUCCGUGCCAGCAGCCGCGGUAAUACGGAGGAUGCAAGCGUUAUCCGGAAUGAUUGGGCGUAAAGCGUCCGCAGGUGGCACUGUAAGUCUGCUGUUAAAGAGCAAGGCUCAACCUUGUAAAGGCAGUGGAAACUACAGAGCUAGAGUACGUUCGGGGCAGAGGGAAUUCCUGGUGUAGCGGUGAAAUGCGUAGAAAUA